This 304-nucleotide ribosomal RNA is filed under the name uncultured bacterium. RNAcentral's name for it is "partial 16S ribosomal RNA". It matches the Rfam family "Bacterial small subunit ribosomal RNA", at positions 506 to 807 of the family's 1533-position model. The record is from RNAcentral.
CAGCAGUCGCCACGGUAAUACGAAGGGGGCUAGCGUUGUUCGGAAUUACUGGGCGUAAAGCGCACGUAGGCGGAUAUUUAAGUCAGGGGUGAAAUCCCAGAGCUUAACUCUGGAACUGCCUUUGAUACUGGGUAUCUUGAGUAUGGAAGAGGUGAGUGGAAUUCCGAGUGUAGAGGUGAAAUUCGUAGAUAUUCGGAGGAACACCAGUGGCGAAGGCGGCUCACUGGUCCAUUACUGACGCUGAGGUGCGAAAGCGUGGGGAGCAAACAGGAUUAGAUACCCCUGUAGUCCCUGUCUCUUAUAC